UACGUAGGGUGCAAGCGUUAAUCGGAAUUACUGGGCGUAAAGCGUGCGCAGGCGGUCUGUUAAGACCGAUGUGAAAUCCCCGGGCUUAACCUGGGAACUGCAUUGGUGACUGGCAGGCUUUGAGUGUGGCAGAGGGGGGUAGAAUUCCACGUGUAGCAGUGAAAUGCGUAGAGAUGUGGAGGAAUACCGAUGGCGAAGGCAGCCCCCUGGGUCAAUACUGACGCUCAUGCACGAAAGCGUGGGGAGCAAACAGG
This 254-nucleotide ribosomal RNA is filed under the name uncultured bacterium. RNAcentral describes it as "partial 16S ribosomal RNA". It matches the Rfam family "Bacterial small subunit ribosomal RNA", at positions 524 to 776 of the family's 1533-position model. The record is from RNAcentral.